GCGGCUAUACCACUUUGAAAGCAUCGGUUCUCGCCUGAUCAUCAAGACUAAGCAACGUCAGGCCCGACCAGUACUUGCAUAGAUGUUGGAUAUUGCAUUCGAUCUUUCUUCGUGGUGGACAGUAAUCUCGGUACCACGCCU
Molecule: ribosomal RNA, 141 nt
Filed under: Fasciola gigantica
Lineage: Eukaryota; Metazoa; Platyhelminthes; Trematoda; Plagiorchiida; Fasciolidae
Source: RNAcentral